GAGGGAGGCCUAUGAGGCGUUGGGAACUGCUAAUUCUUAGUAUCAUGGUUAGAAUCCAUGGCUCGCUCG
Molecule: transfer RNA, 69 nt
Filed under: Albula glossodonta (roundjaw bonefish)
Lineage: Eukaryota; Metazoa; Chordata; Actinopteri; Albuliformes; Albulidae
Description: tRNA-Ser (AGY)
Source: RNAcentral